UUAAAGUGAAUUGUUAAGAUAACAUAUUGUUGAUUAAAUCAGGAAUCAAAAAGUGACAUCGUUUUACUUGGUGUUCAACAAGAUAAUAUCUACCCUCAAGCUUACAUCAGAAGUGAGAUCAGGACUCUACUCUCACUGGCGUGACGUGUUUGAACAUGUUCGAAGUACAGCAAAAAAAACAUGAUGCAGAUCAGAAUACUAGUAGUGGUACGCCACAAGAGCGUGAAUGCAGCAUACGUAAGUCGUGUAAUAACGUCUCUGUUACCUCGAUGGAAGAUCUGAGCCACGAAGAAAUCGUCACAUCUUACGUUCUGGCUCAUGUUGCCCAGUUUGACUGUCUACUUCAUCACAUGGCAUUUACUAACGGAAAUACAACACGUAACAAGCUAUUGCAAGAAAUUAAGGCAAGUGCAAAUCUCAAGUGAAACUUCGAUCGCAAUAAUGGAUCUGUCAUGACAAGUGGGUAGUUCCGACACGAAUCGUUUUUAAGCCAAUGACUACUGUUAGAGUUACAUGGCACUAGUACAGUAAACCAGGACAUGAGACUGUGAAUUGUCGCUGAAAUUUUAGAAUCUACUCGAUUCAAUACCAAUAACACUACACGUUCGAUGACUUCGGGCUCCAGCAAGCAAGCAAACAAGAAAGCAAGCAAGUUUCCGUGAGGAAGAAAAAUUGACACAUCUGAAGUCGUCGUGACCUGUAAGAUAAGACGUCCGGUGCGUUCGUGUCUGGCGAUGCGGCGGUGUUCGGGUUCCGCUGGCGGAUGCAGGUUUUUCCGGUGAAGUGCGUGCUUGUGCGUGCUUGACAAGUGUUCGCGGUUGGCUUCCUCAGUGUGGGAGUAACAUCGUGUAAGAGAGGUGGAACCCGUAAAAUUGUAGUUUGCGUGGUGGCUGGUAAGAUUUGUUGCGGUAAGAAGUUUGCAUGGUGGUAAAAUGUCUUGUGAGUCUGCACAGGUAGCCGGAGGUGAGACUUCCGCGGUCGCGGCCCACCCAGUCCGCGAGAACCGGGCAGAUCGCCUCGACGGUACGGAGGCCGGCUGACGGGUCCGCCAAACGACGAGACCACGCCUCCAGCACGGACUGCCGAUAUUGGAGCCCCCGCGCUCCGGCUGCACUUGCGCUAGGGCGCGCCGCCUCGUAGGAGACUGUGAGGCUCGAGCUGCUACUUGCCUCACAAAAAUACAGCCUGCAAAACCUGAACAACCUCCUCAUCCGUGGGCGCCCGGCUCUCGCCUGCAAGUCGGCUGUUACGUGUGCGGUGAUGCGAGCCAUGUAGCUUCUGGGUGUUCCAUGCGCUACAAGAAGAAAAACGACACUGCUCCAGGUGCUGUGGCAGGUUCAACCAGAGACGUCAACGUGUGUUCCAGAGCUUCAGUGUGUUACAGAUAAGUGGUUUUGGCUUCCCCUUUAUGUUCCAUUCAGGGUCAGAAUGUAGUCUUAUAAAACAAAGUCAUAGUAAUUUAUUCAAUGGUAAGCGGUUUCAUGAACAAGUCACUCUUUGAUCUGAAAGUAACUUAGUCCAAUCAUGAUGGCAAGAGCACUUAGGGGAUAUUCAACUCGCCCUUAAUAGUGCACGUUGUCUAGUAACAGGGUUUACUCCAAUAGAAUAGAUGUUUGCCGUUCAGGGUAGUUCACUUGAAAUAUCUUAAAGUUUCAACAGAGUGAUAAUCCCUCUAGAUUAGAUCUUGAUUUAGCACGGUCGAAGACCGGCGAAAACAUAAAAAAAAGGGCACAAACAGAAGCUUGGUUUAGUCGAGGCAAAGCUAAAGUCAAACUCUUUUCCGCUGGGGAUUUUGUUUUCGUAAGUUGACCGAAAAUGUAAAGGUCCCUUCAACAUUACUGCAGUUUUGGAAAACGAUAGGUAUAAAUUGAGACAUGUAAAUAGUUCUAAUAGAUGUACAAAUUUCCCCAUGAAAACUUACGUGAAAUACCUCGAGGCCCAUCAGGCCUACUAGAAAUUUCUGAAAAUUAUAGUGACGAUGACGUGACGGCGUACACAGAUGGGUUAAUUAAUCUUGUUCAUGAAACUGAUCUUAAUGAUGACGACUCUAUCACUGACAAUAGAAGCGACAUUUUUGUCCGCAAAUAGCGAUACAGCAAACAUAGUCUGUGGGUAGUGAUACAAUGUCUGUAAGCUCAGGCACCUCAGUUGCAGGUGUAGGUAAUGUAGAAAACGAUGGUCGGUCUCGCACUAUUUCUGAAGAAAUUCCGUAUAAAUGUUCUGGUUUAAGAAAUGUUUUAAGAAACGCUACCGUACACGCAGAUUAGAAUUGUAUGUGGCUAGAGAGAUGUUAAUCCGGACUAGCAAAAAAAAAAAAAAGAGAAAAAAAAAAAAAGAAAGUGUGAAGUCAUUGAAGGGUCUGUCCGGUCCAAUGGCUUGGCUAUAGGGAUUUUCAUCCAGAUUAGCCACAACAAUUAGCUACAGGGAUUGCGAUUCAGUCUAGCAUUAUCCGGUCCAGUUCGAAAAAAGUUAAAAGGGACAUACUUACAUACCUGAAGAGUUUCAAAUGAACUGGCCCAGGUAUGUAAGCAGUCUGAAGCUUAUUUAUAGCCAGUAUAGGAUUUUCUGAAGAAUUAUGCGAACCGAACCGUACUAGAUUGUUAAUAUCAUAGACCACGUUUUAUGUUGUAUCCGUUAAUGUCAGGAUGAACGAACACGUUUGUUGUUCACAGACAUACCAUAAGAAUGCGCGCACGAGGACGAGCGCACGUCAGUAUGGCCGUGACGGCGUUAACGAUAUUUAUGUUAUAUAGCACGUGCAAUAGGAGUGACUCAAACAAACCAGGUGCGCCGGCCGUGUCGUUCCACUCGUAAACAACAGCUGCAACAGAGGUGACUCAUAAGCCAGCUGCGCCGGCUAGUAUAAAAAGGCGGAAGGUGCCUUGAAAUGAACAUUCGUUGGACUGCGCUUGCCUGGUGCACUUACUAUAUCCUUGUUACGUUGUGUGAUUCAGUGACUGUUGUACGUACUGGUUAAAGUUGGACAAGUGUUAAAGUGAAUUGUUAAGAUAACAUAUUGUUGAUUAAAUCAGGAAUCAAAAAG
This is a long non-coding RNA of Bombyx mori (domestic silkworm), 3043 nucleotides long. RefSeq lists it as uncharacterized. The record is from RefSeq and is a predicted model, not a curated record. The transcript has 2 exons. Lineage: Eukaryota; Metazoa; Arthropoda; Insecta; Lepidoptera; Bombycidae.